GUUUCCGGCGGGUCUCGAUCUGCGCUCGGUCGAUCUGCGCAUGAAGUUGUCCGACGCCAACAUCAUGCGCAAGCUGAUCUAUGUUCCGCCGUCGAUGCCGGCCAUNNNCCUGCUGGCGCAGAUGCAGGCGACGCGCAUUCACCUGGCGCUGGUGGUCGACGAGUACGGCGGCACCGACGGUCUGGUGUCGAUCGAGGACAUCGUCGAACAG
This 211-nucleotide unclassified non-coding RNA is filed under the name Hevea brasiliensis (rubber tree). Lineage: Eukaryota; Viridiplantae; Streptophyta; Magnoliopsida; Malpighiales; Euphorbiaceae. The record is from RNAcentral.